This is a long non-coding RNA of Xenopus laevis (African clawed frog), 667 nucleotides long. RefSeq lists it as uncharacterized. The transcript is spliced from 2 exons. NCBI's taxonomy places the organism in Eukaryota, Metazoa, Chordata, Amphibia, Anura, Pipidae. The record is from RefSeq and is a predicted model, not a curated record.
GAAUUGAUUGAAUUGAAUUGGGGAUUUAAUGUAAAGUGAUCUUUUAAAUAAAAAAAAUUCCUAUUGUGAUUCAAGGCUGCCGCUGGCAGACAGCAGGAAGUGCAGUCAAGUUUCUAUGACGUAGAUCGAGUCCUGUUCUUGCUUUCUGCUCAGAGUGCCAUUCCUCUCCAAUAACACCACGGACACAGGAAUUACUAUGGACUUAGGUCCUUCCAACUGUCAAGAGGGUACCCAUUCCAAUUAAAAGAAAAGAGGUCCCCCAUCCACUACAGACUCCUGGAUCCACCUCGUCAACUCCACGAUUCCUCCCAUUAAACUUACCUAUGAGGCCAGAGGUAUUUACAAAAAAUUUGAUAAAAUCUGGAGCCCCUGGUGGGAAUCCGGGCUGGGUGCCUCAACAACUUUCAAUCUUGCUGAAGUUAGGACUGUUAGUACCCUUUUAGACUUACAUGGGAAUUCUCUGACCUCUACGGUAAAACAAGCCUGACUUUCAACUUGAUCCUUACCCUUAAUUAAAUGAACAAAACCUUCUAUGUUACAUAACACAUAGUAUAUACUGUUUUACCUGAACCUUUUGUAUGCUUGUUUUGUUUUUUUUAUUUUAUUUAUUUGUUUUCUCUAUUAUGUUUCACUAAUUCGGAAUAAAAACAAUAAAAAGUUUCUCUAA